RNAcentral lists this ribosomal RNA (1443 nucleotides) under bacterium. RNAcentral's name for it is "bacterial SSU rRNA". It matches the Rfam family "Bacterial small subunit ribosomal RNA". The record is from RNAcentral.
GCUUUGCGGCAGGCCUACACAUGCAGUCGAGCGGUAGCACAGAGAGCUUGCUCUCGGGUGACGAGCGGCGGACGGGUGAGUAAUGUCUGGGAAACUGCCUGAUGGAGGGGGAUAACUACUGGAAACGGUAGCUAAUACCGCAUAAUGUCGCAAGACCAAAGAGGGGGACCUUCGGGCCUCUUGCCAUCAGAUGUGCCCAGAUGGGAUUAGCUAGUAGGUGGGGUAACGGCUCACCUAGGCGACGAUCCCUAGCUGGUCUGAGAGGAUGACCAGCCACACUGGAACUGAGACACGGUCCAGACUCCUACGGGAGGCAGCAGUGGGGAAUAUUGCACAAUGGGCGCAAGCCUGAUGCAGCCAUGCCGCGUGUAUGAAGAAGGCCUUCGGGUUGUAAAGUACUUUCAGCGGGGAGGAAGGUGUUGAGGUUAAUAACCUCAGCAAUUGACGUUACCCGCAGAAGAAGCACCGGCUAACUCCGUGCCAGCAGCCGCGGUAAUACGGAGGGUGCAAGCGUUAAUCGGAAUUACUGGGCGUAAAGCGCACGCAGGCGGUCUGUCAAGUCGGAUGUGAAAUCCCCGGGCUCAACCUGGGAACUGCAUUCGAAACUGGCAGGCUAGAGUCUUGUAGAGGGGGGUAGAAUUCCAGGUGUAGCGGUGAAAUGCGUAGAGAUCUGGAGGAAUACCGGUGGCGAAGGCGGCCCCCUGGACAAAGACUGACGCUCAGGUGCGAAAGCGUGGGGAGCAAACAGGAUUAGAUACCCUGGUAGUCCACGCCGUAAACGAUGUCGACUUGGAGGUUGUGCCCUUGAGGCGUGGCUUCCGGAGCUAACGCGUUAAGUCGACCGCCUGGGGAGUACGGCCGCAAGGUUAAAACUCAAAUGAAUUGACGGGGGCCCGCACAAGCGGUGGAGCAUGUGGUUUAAUUCGAUGCAACGCGAAGAACCUUACCUACUCUUGACAUCCAGAGAACUUUCCAGAGAUGGAUUGGUGCCUUCGGGAACUCUGAGACAGGUGCUGCAUGGCUGUCGUCAGCUCGUGUUGUGAAAUGUUGGGUUAAGUCCCGCAACGAGCGCAACCCUUAUCCUUUGUUGCCAGCGGUCCGGCCGGGAACUCAAAGGAGACUGCCAGUGAUAAACUGGAGGAAGGUGGGGAUGACGUCAAGUCAUCAUGGCCCUUACGAGUAGGGCUACACACGUGCUACAAUGGCGCAUACAAAGAGAAGCGACCUCGCGAGAGCAAGCGGACCUCAUAAAGUGCGUCGUAGUCCGGAUUGGAGUCUGCAACUCGACUCCAUGAAGUCGGAAUCGCUAGUAAUCGUAGAUCAGAAUGCUACGGUGAAUACGUUCCCGGGCCUUGUACACACCGCCCGUCACACCAUGGGAGUGGGUUGCAAAAGAAGUAGGUAGCUUAACCUUCGGGAGGGCGCUACCACUUGAAUCGAGGG